This 847-nucleotide ribosomal RNA is filed under the name uncultured Acidovorax sp. Its description in RNAcentral is "bacterial SSU rRNA". It matches the Rfam family "Bacterial small subunit ribosomal RNA", at positions 26 to 870 of the family's 1533-position model. Lineage: Bacteria; Pseudomonadati; Pseudomonadota; Betaproteobacteria; Burkholderiales; Comamonadaceae. The record is from RNAcentral.
AGAUUGAACGCUGGCGGCAUGCCUUACACAUGCAAGUCGAACGGCAGCGCGGGAGCAAUCCUGGCGGCGAGUGGCGAACGGGUGAGUAAUACAUCGGAACGUGCCCAAUCGUGGGGGAUAACGCAGCGAAAGCUGUGCUAAUACCGCAUACGAUCUACGGAUGAAAGCAGGGGACCGCAAGGCCUUGUGCUCCUGGAGCGGCCGAUAUCUGAUUAGCUAGUUGGUGGGGUAAAGGCCCACCAAGGCAACGAUCAGUAGCUGGUCUGAGAGGACGACCAGCCACACUGGAACUGAGACACGGUCCAGACUCCUACGGGAGGCAGCAGUGGGGAAUUUUGGACAAUGGGGGAAACCCUGAUCCAGCAAUGCCGCGUGUGUGAAGAAGGCCUUCGGGUUGUAAAGCACUUUUGUCCGGAAAGAAAACUUCCUGGUUAAUACCUGGGGAGGCUGACGGUACCGGAAGAAUAAGCACCGGCUAACUACGUGCCAGCAGCCGCGGUAAUACGUAGGGUGCGAGCGUUAAUCGGAAUUACUGGGCGUAAAGCGUGCGCAGGCGGUUUGUUAAGACAGUUGUGAAAUCCCCGGGCUCAACCUGGGAACUGCAUCUGUGACUGCAUAGCUGAGUACGGUAGAGGGGGAUGGAAUUCCGCGUGUAGCAGUGAAAUGCGUAGAUAUGCGGAGGAACACCGAUGGCGAAGGCAAUCCCCUGGACCUGUACUGACGCUCAUGCACGAAAGCGUGGGGAGCAAACAGGAUUAGAUACCCUGGUAGUCCACGCCCUAAACGAUGUCAACUAGUUGUUGGGGAUUCAUUUCCUUAGUAACGUAGCUAACGCGUGAAGUUGACC